GGGCCGUUAGCUCAGUUGGUUAGAGCAGCUGACUCUUAAUCAGCGGGUCCGGGGUUCGAGUCCCUGACGGCCCA
This 74-nucleotide transfer RNA is filed under the name bacterium. RNAcentral's name for it is "tRNA-Lys". It matches the Rfam family "tRNA". From Rfam's summary of the family: Transfer RNA (tRNA) molecules are approximately 80 nucleotides in length. Their secondary structure includes four short double-helical elements and three loops (D, anti-codon, and T loops). Further hydrogen bonds mediate the characteristic L-shaped molecular structure. tRNAs have two regions of fundamental functional importance: the anti-codon, which is responsible for specific mRNA codon recognition, and the 3' end, to which the tRNAs corresponding amino acid is attached (by aminoacyl-tRNA synthetases). tRNAs cope with the degeneracy of the genetic code in two manners: having more than one tRNA (with a specific anti-codon) for a particular amino acid; and 'wobble' base-pairing, i.e. permitting non-standard base-pairing at the 3rd anti-codon position. The record is from RNAcentral. RNAcentral also lists the same sequence under 5 other names.